CUACGUCCUAGAGGACCAAGCCAGUGCUGCAAAGGAAGCGAUACGCCAGGCGGGAGUCAUGAUGGAGCAGGUGAAGGCCAUCCGGGAGGCAAGCCAGGCAGCCUACGACGCCAGUUCUGCUCUUCAAAGCAACGUUCAGAAAUCCUGCGACCUUGCGGCUCGUUACACCGAGCUGGAGAACAAGCACAUCCAGCUCGAGCUGGAUCUGAAGCUGGUCUAGGAGAAUCUGACGAAGGCGAAGGAGGAGACCAAAGGCAAGGUGAAGGAGGCCCAGAAGAAGAAAGACCUUGAGCUAGCUGAGAAGACCAAGCUUGCUGACGAGAAGUUAGC
Molecule: long non-coding RNA, 330 nt
Organism: Triticum dicoccoides
Lineage: Eukaryota; Viridiplantae; Streptophyta; Magnoliopsida; Poales; Poaceae
Exons: 3
Source: RefSeq, a predicted model, not a curated record